AUAUUUAACUAGGGGUGCCACUUUCGGCUGAGAGAUGGAUUGUACCAUUAACCCUUUGAACCUGAAGUAGUUAGAACUACCGUAGGAAAGUUAUUUUCUUUUAGA
This 105-nucleotide non-coding RNA is filed under the name Clostridium sp. RNAcentral describes it as "TPP sequence". It matches the Rfam family "TPP riboswitch aptamer (THI element)". Rfam says of the family: Vitamin B(1) in its active form thiamin pyrophosphate (TPP) is an essential coenzyme that is synthesised by coupling of pyrimidine and thiazole moieties in bacteria. The previously detected thiamin-regulatory element, thi box was extended, resulting in a new, highly conserved RNA secondary structure, the THI element, which is widely distributed in eubacteria and also occurs in some archaea. Analysis of operon structures identified a large number of new candidate thiamin-regulated genes, mostly transporters, in various prokaryotic organisms. RNAcentral also lists the same sequence under 1 other name. The record is from RNAcentral. Lineage: Bacteria; Bacillati; Bacillota; Clostridia; Eubacteriales; Clostridiaceae.